This 69-nucleotide transfer RNA is filed under the name Stethoconus japonicus. RNAcentral describes it as "tRNA-Ser". Lineage: Eukaryota; Metazoa; Arthropoda; Insecta; Hemiptera; Miridae. The record is from RNAcentral.
AAGAGAAUGGUGUACCUAAAAGGAGCUGCUAACUACCUUUUUAAGCGGUUAAAUCCCGUUUUUCUCUUA